This 626-nucleotide ribosomal RNA is filed under the name Dermacoccus sp. So1Pw_976. RNAcentral's name for it is "bacterial SSU rRNA". It matches the Rfam family "Bacterial small subunit ribosomal RNA", at positions 387 to 1022 of the family's 1533-position model. The record is from RNAcentral. Lineage: Bacteria; Bacillati; Actinomycetota; Actinomycetes; Micrococcales; Dermacoccaceae.
UGCAGCGACGCCGCGUGAGGGAUGACGGCCUUCGGGUUGUAAACCUCUUUCACCAGGGACGAAGCUAGCGUGACGGUACCUGGAGAAGAAGCACCGGCUAACUACGUGCCAGCAGCCGCGGUAAUACGUAGGGUGCGAGCGUUGUCCGGAAUUAUUGGGCGUAAAGAGCUUGUAGGCGGUUUGUCGCGUCUGCUGUGAAAGACCGGGGCUUAACUCCGGUUCUGCAGUGGGUACGGGCAGACUAGAGUGUGGUAGGGGAGACUGGAAUUCCUGGUGUAGCGGUGAAAUGCGCAGAUAUCAGGAGGAACACCGAUGGCGAAGGCAGGUCUCUGGGCCAUUACUGACGCUGAGAAGCGAAAGCAUGGGGAGCGAACAGGAUUAGAUACCCUGGUAGUCCAUGCCGUAAACGUUGGGCGCUAGGUGUGGGACUCAUUCCACGAGUUCCGUGCCGCAGCUAACGCAUUAAGCGCCCCGCCUGGGGAGUACGGCCGCAAGGCUAAAACUCAAAGGAAUUGACGGGGGCCCGCACAAGCGGCGGAGCAUGCGGAUUAAUUCGAUGCAACGCGAAGAACCUUACCAAGGCUUGACAUACACCGGAAUCAUGCAGAGAUGUGUGCGUCUUCGGA